CUGAGUAUCACAUCAACCAAUCAGAUGAAGACUUGACUGACGGAGAGGACCUCUAUGACUUCCCACUGUCCAAUAGGAGGGCAAGUGACCGCCAAGAUUAUAGGGAGAUGACAGAGAGCAUCUAUGACGUCCCCAGUUCCCUAAUGAGGAAAAUGUCUGAACACACACUUGCAGAGCCUUACCCUGGAGGUGAGAUACUGGUGGAGGACAGGGGCCUCCUGGAUGACAUGAUGGCCAGUCUGGGUGGAGGGACGGUGGGCUGGAUAACAGGUGCUUCUACUGUGGAGCCCUACGGGCUGGCUCAUCAUGGCUCUUAGGACUGGUAUAUAGUAUAGACUCUGGAUAAUAUAGACUGAAUGAGUUUUCCUCAUUCAAAUUGUUCUAUAAAGCUUGACGCAUUCUGUUAGAGAUUUAAAUACGUUUACAUUUUAUGAAAAAAAAAUCUCCUUUGUCAUGAUAUUCUAUUCUAUUGACUUCUCUUUUAAUACAAUCUACUGUCAAGGAAAUACCAUAUUAAAUAACUAACUUCAUACUGUCAAAGUGUUCCACUUAGUAUAUAAUGUCAGGAGAGAGGUACUAUAGUAUUCAGGCAGACCCUAUCCUUCUUUUUUAGGAGGUAGAUCAGCUUUAAUACUGCAGAUACAUUGUGGCUUCUAUCAAUGUAAUUGUCUGCAUCAUUUCCAAUCACACGUGUAUAUUUUUUGUAAAUAUAUAGAGUAUAUAUUAUUUUAAAUAUAUAUACAUUUUAAAUAUAUUUAUCUUCUUUAUUAUUUUCCCCUAACCCUACCACCCCUCCCUUAAUUGGAGUAAACAAAUGAAAUAGAUUUGACUUCUUUAUUAAUUUCCCCUAACCCAACAAUACUUAGGCUUCCACUUCCAGGUUAUACAUACUACAUACAUUUAAUGGAAAAUAUAUUUGACAUUAGUUAUCUUCUGUUAGUUUUUAGUCCCAGCCUUCAGCUACCAUCAACACCUCCCAUCUACAGUGAGGGGGGGAAAGUAUUUGAUCCCUGCUGAUUUUCUACGUUUGCCCACUGACAAAGAAAUGAU
Oncorhynchus gorbuscha (pink salmon) is the source of this 1050-nucleotide long non-coding RNA. RefSeq lists it as uncharacterized. The transcript has 3 exons. NCBI's taxonomy places the organism in Eukaryota, Metazoa, Chordata, Actinopteri, Salmoniformes, Salmonidae. The record is from RefSeq and is a predicted model, not a curated record.